GACAGAGGGGGCAAGCGUUGCUCGGAAUCACUGGGCGUAAAGGGCGCGUAGGCGGGAUGGCAAGUCAGUCGUGAAAUCUCUCGGCUCAACCGAAGAACGUCGGCCGAUACUGCCGUUCUUGAGGGAUGCAGAGGAGAUUGGAAUUCCCGGUGUAGCGGUGAAAUGUGUAGAGAUCGGGAGGAACACCGGUGGCGAAGGCGGGUCUCUGGGCAUCUCCUGACGCUGAGGCGCGAAAGCCAGGGGAGCAAACGGG
RNAcentral lists this ribosomal RNA (253 nucleotides) under uncultured bacterium. RNAcentral describes it as "partial 16S ribosomal RNA". It matches the Rfam family "Bacterial small subunit ribosomal RNA", at positions 524 to 776 of the family's 1533-position model. The record is from RNAcentral.